AACGAACGCUGGCGGCAUGCCUAACACAUGCAAGUCGAACGAGACCUUCGGGUCUAGUGGCGCACGGGUGCGUAACGCGUGGGAACCUGCCCUUAGGUUCGGAAUAACUCCCCGAAAGGGGUGCUAAUACCGGAUAAUGUCUUCGGACCAAAGAUUUAUCGCCUUUGGAUGGGCCCGCGUUGGAUUAGCUAGUUGGUAGGGUAAAAGCCUACCAAGGCGACGAUCCAUAGCUGGUCUGAGAGGAUGAUCAGCCACACUGGGACUGAGACACGGCCCAGACUCCUACGGGAGGCAGCAGUGGGGAAUAUUGGACAAUGGGCGAAAGCCUGAUCCAGCAAUGCCGCGUGAGUGAUGAAGGCCUUAGGGUUGUAAAGCUCUUUUGCCCGGGAUGAUAAUGACAGUGCCGGGAGAAUAAGCUCCGGCUAACUCCGUG
RNAcentral lists this ribosomal RNA (433 nucleotides) under uncultured bacterium. RNAcentral's name for it is "partial 16S ribosomal RNA". It matches the Rfam family "Bacterial small subunit ribosomal RNA", at positions 29 to 507 of the family's 1533-position model. The record is from RNAcentral.